Molecule: small RNA, 1955 nt
Filed under: Pongo abelii (Sumatran orangutan)
Lineage: Eukaryota; Metazoa; Chordata; Mammalia; Primates; Hominidae
Description: retained intron
Source: RNAcentral
AUCAUAUUUGUAGUUUUUAGGGCUACAAAUGUAAUUUUAAGAAAAAAAGCUCUCUACAGUAAGUUCUCGUACCAUUGAAGGUAUAUUUUUGUGUUAUAGACCCAUGCAGAUGCAAAAGUCCAAGUGCUGGACAAUCAAAACGUGUCCAACGGAUGUGUGAGUAAAAUUCUGGGCAGGUAUUACGAGACUGGCUCCAUCAGACCCAGGGCAAUCGGUGGUAGUAAACCGAGAGUAGCGACUCCAGAAGUUGUAAGCAAAAUAGCCCAGUAUAAGCGGGAGUGCCCGUCCAUCUUUGCUUGGGAAAUCCGAGACAGAUUACUGUCCGAGGGGGUCUGUACCAACGAUAACAUACCAAGUGUAAGUUCAUUGAGAACAUCUGCCCUCCCUGCCCUAAGCCCAAUGCUCUCUCCUCUUUACCUCCUCCCACCCACUUUCUCCACUGUCUCUUAGUCUGUGUCCUCUCCCUGCUCCACAUUUGUCUCCUUUGUACCUGGGGGAACAGAGAGGAAUGCCCUGACCUUUCUUUGACUGUCUGGAAAAUGGGAGUCAAGUGUGGGGAGUCGUUCACUUCAUUUGCAUGCUGCAAAACAGAGGGCGGAGGCACCAGGGAAAGGCACUUGAAUGAAGAAGAAAAAUGAGAACCAGAUUGUAACUUCGUCCCAAUCCACCUGCCAGAACUUUCCUUCAGGUGUCACACAUCCAUUUCCAUCCUAAUAUUAAACAAUAUGAUGAAAGAAAGCUUUACACCAAGUCUAAAUAGUUUUUAUUUUCGGGCAGUCUUUUAACAAAGCAAAGCAACCGUGUGAGUUAGGUCACCAGAGACACCAAGCAAUGGUGAAGGACCCCCUCCCCCCAAUUCUCUAUUCAACUAAACUUCCAUGCCCAAAAUGAUAGCUAUCAUUUUUUCCACGGUGUAUCUGCAAAUCCACCCACUGUCCCGGGGUGGCUGGGAGCUUUUUAAUGGGUUGAGAGUUGCUUUUUAAGGUGGUGGGUGAGCUGAGAUGGGUGACUGUGUCUUCAGGAGACACUACCAUUUGGUUUGAUUUUGGUUUGAUUUGCAGGUGUCAUCAAUAAACAGAGUUCUUCGCAACCUGGCUAGCGAAAAGCAACAGAUGGGCGCAGACGGCAUGUAUGAUAAACUAAGGAUGUUGAACGGGCAGACCGGAAGCUGGGGCACCCGCCCUGGUUGGUAUCCGGGGACUUCGGUGCCAGGGCAACCUACGCAAGAUGGCUGCCAGCAACAGGAAGGAGGGGGAGAGAAUACCAACUCCAUCAGUUCCAAUGGAGAAGAUUCAGAUGAGGCUCAAAUGCGACUUCAGCUGAAGCGGAAGCUGCAAAGAAAUAGAACAUCCUUUACCCAAGAGCAAAUUGAGGCCCUGGAGAAAGAGUUUGAGAGAACCCAUUAUCCAGAUGUGUUUGCCCGAGAAAGACUAGCAGCCAAAAUAGAUCUACCUGAAGCAAGAAUACAGGUAUGGUUUUCUAAUCGAAGGGCCAAAUGGAGAAGAGAAGAAAAACUGAGGAAUCAGAGAAGACAGGCCAGCAACACACCUAGUCAUAUUCCUAUCAGCAGUAGUUUCAGCACCAGUGUCUACCAACCAAUUCCACAACCCACCACACCUGUUUCCUCCUUCACAUCUGGCUCCAUGUUGGGCCGAACAGACACAGCCCUCACAAACACCUACAGCGCUCUGCCGCCUAUGCCCAGCUUCACCAUGGCAAAUAACCUGCCUAUGCAAGUAAGUGCAGCUGGUGGUGGCCUGCACAAUCCAGGCCCCAGAGAAGUGAGGAGUGGCUCAAGGCCUGUGGACCUCAUUGGCUGUGUCUGCACCCUUGAGAGCUUUUUGCACUACAGUGAUUGGUUUGACCAGUCAAGUCGGAGACAGUCAAUCCCAUCACUUUUAAGUGAUUGACUCAUUAAUUCAUGCCCUAAAAAAAUUAGUAAUAAAAAUCUGUCC